UCCGUAGGGUAACCUGCGGAGGGAUCAUUGCUGGAACAAACGCCCUCACGGGUGCUACCCAGAAACCCUUUGUGAAUACUACCUAAAAAAUGUUGCCUCGGCGCAGGUUGGCCCUUUUACAGGGUCCCUUCUCCCCUAGGGGUUUAGGAGCAGACCGGCCGGCGGCCCUAUAAACUCUUGUUUUUGUAAAAUCAUCUGAGUAAAAAAAAUAAAUGAAUCAAAACUUUCAACAACGGAUCUCUUGGUUCUGGCAUCGAUGAAGAACGCAGCGAAAUGCGAUAAGUAAUGUGAAUUGCAGAAUUCAGUGAAUCAUCGAAUCUUUGAACGCACAUUGCGCCCGGUGGUAUUCCACCGGGCAUGCCUGUUCGAGCGUCAUUUCAACCCUCAAAGCCUAGCUUUGGUGUUGGAGGAAGACCUGUAAAAAGGUCCCCUCCCAAAUUUAGUGGCGGGCUCGCUAGAAUUUUGAGCGUAGUAAUUUUACCUCGUUUUUAAAGACUAGUGGGACUUCUUGCCGUAAAACCCCCCAACUUUCUGAAAAUGACCUCGAA
This 548-nucleotide ribosomal RNA is filed under the name Pleuroceras sp. DW1A_101. RNAcentral describes it as "eukaryotic LSU rRNA". The stretch from base 222 to 375 matches the Rfam family "5.8S ribosomal RNA". Lineage: Eukaryota; Fungi; Ascomycota; Sordariomycetes; Diaporthales; Gnomoniaceae. The record is from RNAcentral.